Molecule: long non-coding RNA, 229 nt
Filed under: Vigna radiata
Lineage: Eukaryota; Viridiplantae; Streptophyta; Magnoliopsida; Fabales; Fabaceae
Description: long non-coding RNA (VRAD_LNC012214)
Source: RNAcentral
AAUAAUUGAGCUUAGGUUCUUAAGUUGUGGACUUAAAUAAAAGGUUAUUUUAGUAAGUUGGAGAUAAUGUUAGAAGAAAUAAUAAUGUUCUUAAUUCACCUAAAAUAAAUUUGUUUCCUCUAAUAUUUCAUUUUAUUCUUAUUCUUCUUUCUGUCUAAUGUUAUGUUUGGUUCUAGUGAUGUAAUGUUCACAAGUCACAAAAAGGAUUCGUCUGCCACGAAGAACACCC